RNAcentral lists this ribosomal RNA (422 nucleotides) under uncultured prokaryote. RNAcentral describes it as "bacterial SSU rRNA". It matches the Rfam family "Bacterial small subunit ribosomal RNA", at positions 355 to 774 of the family's 1533-position model. The record is from RNAcentral.
UAAGGAAUAUUGGUCAAUGGGCGAGAGCCUGAACCAGCCAUGCCGCGUGCAGGAAGACGGCCUUAUGGGUUGUAAACUGCUUUUAUCGGGGAAUAAACCUAUCUACGUGUAGAUAGCUGAAGGUACCCGAAGAAUAAGCAUCGGCUAACUCCGUGCCAGCAGCCGCGGUAAUACGGAGGAUGCAAGCGUUAUACGGAUUCAUUGGGUUUAAAGGGUGCGCAGGCGGAUUGGUAAGUCAGUGGUGAAAUUCAACGGCUCAACUGUUGAUCUGCCAUUGAUACUGUCAGUCUAGAGUAUAGUUGGAGGGGGCGGAAUGUGUCAUGUAGCGGUGAAAUGCUUAGAUAUGACACAGAACACCGAUCGCGAAGGCAGCUCACUAAGCUAAAACUGACGCUCAUGCACGAAAGCGUGGGGAUCAAACA